This 492-nucleotide ribosomal RNA is filed under the name uncultured bacterium. Its description in RNAcentral is "partial 16S ribosomal RNA". It matches the Rfam family "Bacterial small subunit ribosomal RNA", at positions 30 to 507 of the family's 1533-position model. The record is from RNAcentral.
AUUGAACGCUGGCGGUAGGCCUAACACAUGCAAGUCGAACGGCAGCACAGUAAGAGCUUGCUCUUACGGGUGGCGAGUGGCGGACGGGUGAGGAAUACAUCGGAAUCUACUUUUUCGUGGGGGAUAACGUAGGGAAACUUACGCUAAUACCGCAUACGACCUACGGGUGAAAGCAGGGGACCUCGGGCCCUUCGGCGAUUGAAGGGCCGAAUGUCGGAUUAGCUAGUUGGCGGGGUAAAGGCCCACCAAGGCGACGAUCCGUAGCUGGUCUGAGAGGAUGAUCAGCCACACUGGAACUGAGACACGGUCCAGACUCCUACGGGAGGCAGCAGUGGGGAAUAUUGGACAAUGGGCGCAAGCCUGAUCCAGCCAUACCGCGUGGGUGAAGAAGGCCUUCGGGUUGUAAAGCCCUUUUGUUGGGAAAGAAAAGCAGCAGGUUAAUACCCCGCUGUUCUGACGGUACCCAAAGAAUAAGCACCGGCUAACUUCGUG